RNAcentral lists this ribosomal RNA (546 nucleotides) under uncultured bacterium. RNAcentral describes it as "bacterial SSU rRNA". It matches the Rfam family "Bacterial small subunit ribosomal RNA", at positions 472 to 1021 of the family's 1533-position model. The record is from RNAcentral.
ACGGUACUGUAAGAAUAAGGAUCGGCUAACUCCGUGCCAGCAGCCGCGGUAAUACGGAGGAUCCAAGCGUUAUCCGGAAUCAUUGGGUUUAAAGGGUCCGUAGGCGGUUUGGUAAGUCAGUGGUGAAAGCCCAUCGCUCAACGGUGGAACGGCCAUUGAUACUGCCAGACUUGAAUUACUGGGAAGUAACUAGAAUAUGUAGUGUAGCGGUGAAAUGCUUAGAGAUUACAUGGAAUACCAAUUGCGAAGGCAGGUUACUACCAGUGGAUUGACGCUGAUGGACGAAAGCGUGGGUAGCGAACAGGAUUAGAUACCCUGGUAGUCCACGCCGUAAACGAUGGAUACUAGCUGUUGGGAGUAAUCUCAGUGGCUAAGCGAAAGUGAUAAGUAUCCCACCUGGGGAGUACGAACGCAAGUUUGAAACUCAAAGGAAUUGACGGGGGCCCGCACAAGCGGUGGAGCAUGUGGUUUAAUUCGAUGAUACGCGAGGAACCUUACCAAGGCUUAAAUGUAGAUUGACCGGUUUGGAAACAGACCCUUCGCAAG